GGUGCUUUGGCUCAGUUGGUAGAGCACAUCGUUCACAUCGAUGGGGUCACUGGUUCGAGUCCAGUAAGCACCACCA
RNAcentral lists this transfer RNA (76 nucleotides) under bacterium. RNAcentral describes it as "tRNA-Val". It matches the Rfam family "tRNA". Rfam says of the family: Transfer RNA (tRNA) molecules are approximately 80 nucleotides in length. Their secondary structure includes four short double-helical elements and three loops (D, anti-codon, and T loops). RNAcentral also lists the same sequence under 11 other names. The record is from RNAcentral.